Molecule: ribosomal RNA, 253 nt
Filed under: uncultured bacterium
Lineage: Bacteria
Description: partial 16S ribosomal RNA
Rfam family: Bacterial small subunit ribosomal RNA
Source: RNAcentral
UACGGAGGGGGCUAGCGUUGUUCGAAAUCACUGGGCUUAAAGCGUGUGUAGGCGGAUGCCUAAGUACCUUGUGAAAUCCCCCGGCUUAACCUGGGAACUGCGUCUGAUACUGGACGGCUCGAGUUUGGGAGAGGGAUGUGGAAUUCCAGGUGUAGCGGUGAAAUGCGUAGAUAUCUGGAGGAACACCGGUGGCGAAGGCGGCAUCCUGGACCAACACUGACGCUGAGGCGCGAAAGCUAGGGGAGCAAACGGG